RNAcentral lists this transfer RNA (62 nucleotides) under Ptyas korros. RNAcentral describes it as "tRNA-Pro". The record is from RNAcentral. Lineage: Eukaryota; Metazoa; Chordata; Lepidosauria; Squamata; Colubridae.
CAAAGAGUAGUUUAAGUUAAAAUGCUGGCUUUGGGGGCUAGGGAUGGAAGUUCUCUCUUUGA